This 113-nucleotide unclassified non-coding RNA is filed under the name Chryseobacterium takakiae. RNAcentral's name for it is "Flavo-1 RNA". Lineage: Bacteria; Pseudomonadati; Bacteroidota; Flavobacteriia; Flavobacteriales; Weeksellaceae. The record is from RNAcentral.
CCCUAGCCCUUAUUGAGCGGCAUGUUUGAGCUCUUUUCCUUUUUGGGGGUUGCGGCGGCGGAGCCGCCGCAACCCCCAAAAAGGAAAAGCGAGUAGCGAAAGCAGGAAAAAGC